RNAcentral lists this unclassified non-coding RNA (325 nucleotides) under uncultured fungus. RNAcentral's name for it is "partial contains 5.8S ribosomal RNA and internal transcribed spacer 2". Lineage: Eukaryota; Fungi. The record is from RNAcentral.
UCAGCGGGUAUUCCUACCGCAGCGAGGUCACAAUUGGUACUCGUCUCCCCGAAAGGAGCACUUUUCUCGGGAUCACUCGCUUUUUGUGUGGUUUCGACUCCUGUCUAGCCAUAAGUCACAAUCAGACGGGCGCGCUUCAUUACGGACAGGCGCAGGCCAUAUCCAACACCAGUCUAAGACUGAAUUUGUUAACGACGCUCGCUGCGGCAUGCCCGUCGGAAUACCGACGGGCGCAAUGUGCGUUCAAAGAUUCGAUGAUUCACUAAAUUCUGCAAUUCACAUUACAUAUCGCGUUUCGCUGCGUUCUUCAUCGAUGCGGGAACCA